AGGGUGCUGGCAAGUGCGGGUGCGAGCCAGUGGUUGGUGGGCCUGGUGUGUUGGGCGGGCGGGCCGGAGGCCGGGUCGCCUGAGCACGCGGCUUUCGGCGCCCUGACCCACGCUCGGCUGGUGGCUCUGUGGAGGGACACGGCGGGGGCUCCAAGCGGCCGCACGGCGGGGAGCGGCGGCGGCGGCCUCAGGUCCUGAGUCUCUAUAGAAGCUGAAAUCCAUCAAUCUCCGUUCUUCAAAAUGCAAUGGAAUGUACCAAAGACUGUAUUCCGACUGGCACAUAGGACAUGCGUGGAACCAGAUAAAGCUGGUCAUUUGGGACACUGUCAAAACAUGAAGGGACCAUUACUUUUGUAUACCUCGGAAUCCAGCGUGGUUUGGGUACAGGGCCCUCAGAAACGAUGGCUGCACUUACGUGCUGCCCAGUGUUUUGCAAAGGAAAGGAAGCCAUUCGUUGCUCACCCACCCCAACCAGGGGUCCUUCAUAAACAGUGGGAGCAGGAUAUCUUAUCCAAGAGGGUUCUGUCAUCCAGUGCUGCAUCCCCAGGAACUCCCUCUGAAAAAAAGGAAGAACCUGAUCCUUUACAAGACAGAUCAAUUAGUCUUUAUCAACGGUUUAAGAAAACAUUUAGACAAUAUGGAAAAGUUUUGAUUCCAGUGCAUCUAAUAACUUCUGGUGUUUGGUUUGGAACGUUUUAUUAUGCAGCCAUGAAAGGAGUGAAUGUCGUUCCUUUUCUAGAACUUAUUGGGUUACCUGACAGCGUAGUAAACAUUCUGAAAAAUUCCCAGAGUGGAAAUGCACUAACAGCAUAUGCCCUGUUUAAGAUUGCAACGCCCGCGCGGUACACGGUGACCCUGGGGGGGACCUCCUUCACUGUGAAGUAUCUGCGCAGCCGUGGCUACAUGUCGACGCCACCUCCUGUGAAGGAGUAUCUGCAGGACAGGAUGGAGGAGACAAAGGAGCUCCUCACAGAGAAGAUGGAGGAGACAAAGGACAGACUCACUGAAAAACUGCAAGAAACCAAAGGAAAGGUUUCUUUUAAGAAAAAAGUGGAAUAGAGUGCCUUAUAUACCAGGUUAUAGACAGUUCCUGCACUUUAACCCUUGGGGACUGUGGACAAAGGUACAUGCUCUUGAUUAUUUUUUUGGUUAGCAGCCUAAAUAUAGCAGUUCUCUGAGGGUUAAAGAACUAAGAUAACUUUUUAAAGUUAAACAUCACUAGAAAAAUCAGUGUUUUUUGAAAAGAAAAAAUGAACCCAGUAUAAGAAUUUCAUGUCAGUAGCAGCGUUAAGCAGUGGUCCAUGUCUUCAGUCAUCCUUGCUUUGUGUUUAGAUAGCUGCUGACUCCUUGAAUAGCUGGUGCGUCCCUACACAGAUUUAACACUAGGUCUUCAUCUUUGUUAUUCUUUGAGGUUUUAACGAUAUUCACUUCUCAAUGUGGAGACAAACUGUUAUCAUCAGAACUGCCUGUGAAUAAGAGGAUAUUUAGUCUUUCUCUAAAGAUAGUAUAUAAUGGUUACAUACCAGUUAAAAUGUAGACUUCAUAUAAAGAAAGCUGAAUGAAAAUUGGGUCAUAUAUAUGUAAAUAAGAUGUAUUGGUUAUAUGUAAAUGAAAAAUUGACCCUUUAAAAAUGAUUUUUACCUGAAGCUUGCCAUAAUCAAAUUUUUUAAGCAAAUCUGUGCGGUCAUGGCACUUUCUCACCCGGAAUGUAAAACUGUUAUUCCUGCAUCAUGUCCUCUCCAACUGAUCUCUCAGAGGAAAAGGGAAAAUCAUUACACCUUAAGUUUAUGGUGGAGAUCAGACACCCUUAGCAGUACCUGGAGCUUGUGGUUCUCGGCAGUGCAGGUUUGGGAGGAUGGGACCUGCCUGUCCCUGCCACCUGGUCUCUACCAGCCAGAGUCGGUCUUGAUUCCAUUAUGGAGUAAAAUUUUAAGAUUGUAGCUGCUGUUUUCCUCUUGCAUUGAAACAUCCUUACUUGAGCAUUUUACUUGAAUUUUUUAAAUAGCAAAGCUGUCAUUAAAACCUGCUUGGAAUGAAAUUCAGUCGUUGUCAGAUGUGAAAGUCGCCACAAUUUGUGUGGGUGUGUUUGAGGAUGUGUUUGUGUGUUUCCUUUUGCUCUAACUGCCUUUACUUCAGUUCUAACCUUUGAAUUGAGAGAGGGAACGGCCUCUUUCUAGAUUGUCUUUGUUGUGAGUGAUCUGAUAAGGCCGCAGGCAUCACUGCUGUGAGGCAGGGUUUUCGUAUUAAAUACUGAGUUUGGCCAAACUUAGAGAAUACUUUAAAGGGAAAAAAAUGUUUGCAUUUUGAUACGUCUCAUCAUUAUAUUGGCUGUGCUGUGGUUGGACUCUUCUUUGUGGGGGUGGGUGGAGUGGUGAGGGGGCAGGGCUCACUCUGCCACAUGCAGGCCCGAUCAGGCAGGAUGGUUUGUCUCUUGAUACAGAUCGAACGUGUGAUUUCAAAUUGACAGCACAUUUUCAAAUCCAAAAACAGUGAACAUGUUUUAGCUUGUUUAUUAAAUAAUUCACAUUUUUGCAUAUAUUAAAUGCUAAGAUGGAUAUUAACAAAUUUCUUGUUUGUUUAUUUUUAACCACUGAGACUGCUUGGUUUAAAAUCAUGUGUUAUAUGAAACUUUCUUUUUACUUUUCACGUUGCAUAGGGCGUGUUUUCCAAUGAGGGUAAAUUGUGGGUCUUAGAAGCACUAAUAACCCUGAGUUUCCACCUUUGGUUCAGCCCGUUUGAGAUUUGUUGCCAUCCAGUUUCAUAACUGUGUUGUGUUUGUCCAGUUACAGAAAGUGAGAUACUAGGGAGUGCUUUGAAAUUCUCUAGUAAAACAUUCUCUGAAGGUGUAAGAAGUUCUUUUGUCAUUAUUUAGUAUCAGGAAUAUCUGAUCUUGUCAAAUGCUGCUGCUCUCAUCUUGCUAACCUAGUCCUUAAGGGAAGCUACAAAGAGCCGAAAGGGGGACCCCUGGAAUAUGCGUGUGGAGUAUUUGUAGCAGGCCAACAGCACAUAGUGGGCAUUGAGUUAAAUUAUCCGGGUGUGUGUGUGGUAAAUAUCAUAACCAUUUCAUUUACAAUAAGCCUUAUACUUGCUGUGUCUGGUGUGCACAUCUGUAUUUAAGUAGGAUUGUUGACAGGGUAAAGAGGGAGCCAUGGCUGAGAUUUAAUUUAACACCUAUAAAAUAGAUAAAAAGUGUUUGCUCAGCAAAUUAACAAUUGAAAUGAAAAAUAGAUUAGGUAAAAAAAAGACUUAGUUUAUUCAAGAAAAAUAGCAAAACCAACCUUUUAAAGUACCACAAAAAUGUCUCUCACUGAACCAGCAUUUUGCAUACAGUAGGGUGCUAUUUGCAGAUUCCAACAAAGGAGAAAGAGUUCAUGUAUUAAGGUCACCUUCCUGCCACUAGUGAAAAUAAUAAAACUAUGCCUUCAAAUAUAAUCUUCAGCUUAUUUGUUAUAGAAUCUGCCUUCCAUUUAUUUACAGAUGGAAGAUGUUACUGUAGUCCUUUAUGCUCUAGGAAGCAGUGGAGCUAUUGGCUGUCUUAUUUCAGUGACCUCAGAAGGUAAUUCCAGGAAUUUUAUAAACAUCUUAACAGUUUGGGCAGAAGAGGUGUUUGAAGAAAAGAAGCAAGUUGUACGUUAGACAUAUCUAGCUCUUUCUUGUGUUCUUUCCACUUGGUUCAUCUUCAGGAUUUCUUAUCCAAAUUCAGAUGUUCUGAACAAAGCCACUGUAGAAGAUUGUAGAGUAUGGUGAUGGUAAUGAAAUGGACAGAAAAUGUUUUAGCAGAUGAGUCAGAAAGAGUACAUGCAUCUUUCCUGAUACCUUUGAGAUGAUACCGUUUUUAUAAAAUGCAUUGGUGAGAUAUACAUUUCUGAAUUAUUAAAGGAUUCUGUCUGAAAAAUACUUGCUUUCAUGGUAAUAUAGACGUAUUUCUUCUGUUGGCUACAGCUUACUUUGUAAAAUGGGGACCUUCAUUUAUUUCAGAUUUUCAAAAUUGAAUCUCCAUAGGGAAAGAUAUGGAGUUAGUUUAGAAGAAAGUAAAAUACAUUUAGAUUAAGUGUUACCAACAUUGGUUUGAAGUAGUUUUUGGUAUUAGAUGCUUACUCAGUUGGCUUUUCCCGAGCCAUGGUCUACGGUGCGUCCAGUCACAUUGGCCUAGAGGCCGGAGUUGCACAGGAGUGUUCAUAAAAAGUGUGGGCCUCUCUACUGCCUUGGAAUUUAACCACCUGAACCAGAAAUCUGCAGAACCAGAGGUGGGUGCUUUUAAUUAUUCAUUCUGCAAAUAGGAGCUUUGUUUGGUCUCUCUUGGUCCAUCUGUAUAUUAUGGAGUACCCAAAAGAUUCUGCCUCCUUGACCCAAAGGAACAACAGAGGCAAGAAUUCUCCUUCCCUUAGAGACUUGGCCAGAAUUCGUCUUCAGCCGUGAAUUUUGGCCUGGCUUUCUGAUUUUUGAAAGAUAUUUGUCCUGCAUUUUGAGCUUGUAACUUACAUUUGAGAAAUGCUAAGUUUGUGCCAAUUGGGUAUAGUUUUCCAAACUCUUUGAGAUUUUUUUCCUUUGUGACUUCCAUGUCAAGCUGGUUCAUUUUAACUCAUUAAAACAAGUUUUUGGUUGUCUUGCUUCUUCAGGGUUAGGCUUUGAAAAUCAAGCUGUAUUCUUCCCCGUAAAUCGCUGGCAGCCACCAACAGUAAUGAUGACAGAUCAUAAUUAUCUUGUGGUAGUUAUCUGGCUAUUUUGAUAAGAAUGAUUCUCUCAGCAGAGAGAAUGCGGCUUGACUUCAGAAGCCUUCUGGGCAGAGUAUGACGUUAUUCCGCUGACUUGGACAGUGCUCGUGGGAAGUGCACAGGCAGCCCCAAAGUCCUCCUCAGCACUUGUGGUUUCUCUCUACAGGUAAGAGGGCUCAUAGAGCCUGAGACGAACAGAAAGCACUUUCACGUUGUGUUUUCUCUGGGACAGCAUGGUCCAUAAGAGCAGAAGUUGUAAGACAGGUCAGAGAUGUUCCACGUGUAGCCACGAUAUAUUCUCAUUCUUCCCGACUGUGAGGAAUGCAUAGAACCUUUCUUCCUUCUUUCCUUACCUCUCCCUCCCUCCCUAUGUCCAGCUUUUUCUGCUUUGAAUUUUGACCAUUUUAAAUGGUAGAAAACUCUCUUUGAAUUGAAAAAGAAAAAGGCGAGUUUGCAUGCAAGCAUGCCUGGUUGUCCUGCGGUAGCCGGUAUGUGGUUCUCCGUCCCUCUGGUGGGCAGGCGCCAUGGCCCGCUCCUCAGUAAGAGUGGGACAGAUAGCUUGCAGGUGUUUCCUGACUUUCUAAUCAGGUACCUGUUGAAAGUAAGCCUUUUACUCCAUUUGGGUAAUUUCAUAAGGUUACUUUUAAGUGUACCAUAUAUGAAAUAUAUCUAAUAUAAUCUACAUGAAAUCUACCUAGUAUAAUCUAAAUAGGGUAAAACAGUGAGAUGUUUCAGCUCCUUAACACUAAUUGAGGGUUUGUUUGUUUUUAAAAAAAAAGAACAUACAGCAUUUCCUCUGUAUACACAAGUAUUAAGCUGUUAUUUUGUAUUCACCUUUAAGUACGAGAUUUGAGAUUCUGUAAUGAUUUGAAGCACAUUUUGACUAAUUUGUAUUUUAUUGAAUUUGAGUCAGUAUUUCUUUGGACACAAUCUUGCGACUUAAUUAUGGCUGUUGCUUUACUUUUCUAAGAAUAGUGGCUGUUUGGGUUCUCUCUUUGCAAGGGUCCCAAAGGCAUAGUUUGUCCAGUCCUCAAACACUGACUGCCCUGCCAUUCACCUUGGUCUGGAGGUAGUUACAGGGCUUGGUUGCCAUCGUGCUCCAUCACCAUGUACUUGUUAUUCUCCUCCUGAAGAAGAUGGAAGAUACGGUAGGUUGCAAUUGCAUUCCUCACUUCUUUUGGUUUGGAAAUAAGGGACAAGUCUUACUUUCCAAAAAAAGUUGAAAAUAUUAUUAUCAGUCAAACACUUGUCCACAAAACCUAAUGCAACUUCUGUUGAGAAAUCUAGAUCAUUUUGUAACUGCAUUAUUUUGGAAGCAUUUUAGAUUAAUAGAAGUUUUCUCAGUCAUAAACCCAAUUUUCCCUCUAGUGGGUCACUUCAGAAUGUUGAGGCCAGUAGUUGUAGUUGAAGAAAGGUGCAGGAGAGCCGGGUCAGACAUUCAAAUCCAGGAACUAAGUAAGAGUGAUAUUUCAUUAUCCAAAGAGGAUUCAGCCUCAGAAAAUACCCCAUCCUCCCUUGGUAAGAAAGUGAGUUUGCUUUUCCUACUGCGCUUGUGUGGAGGGUCAUGGUGGUGGUCACAGCACCUGAGCCUGCAUUUGUGACACUUGGAACAGCUCAGAUUGGAAUUUUCCUUUUCCUUUUCCUUGGGGUCAAUCGGUGGAACAUCUGAAGCAUCAGGAGCUGGCUUUUGUGGUAACUUUUCACACUGGGAAGUUCAGUGUAUCCCUGACUAAGAACUGUUAGGCUGGCCUCUCUGGGAGUGGAGAACGUGUGUGUGUGAGGUUUACGGGAGGUUGACAGGUAAAACCAUGUGCUCGUGGAUGGUUCCAGAAGAAAGGGAGUGUGCCAACAUUGGUGAAGAGCAUGCAUACGUGGUACAGGAUCCCGGCACCGGGAGCCUGAGGUCCAUGCGGUUUCCUUGAGGCCGUGACAGCGCUCAGAUCAGUGUUAGCUCCCCCACCCCUCACAGAAAGGAAGCCAGAGAAGGAAAAAAUGGGGGCAAGGUGGGAAAUUAUUUUUUUUAAACUAUUCUCCCUUCAGAUUUUCACAUUUUAUUGCUAAGGUUGUAAGAACACUCUCCAACACACACACACAACGUGGUUUGUUAACCAAAAAAGCUGUCCACAUCUAGAGUAAGGAGAAAAGAAACAGAUGUAUUUUACUUAAAACCGUGGCGAGGAGGUUUGGGUCCUGGUGGCUCAGUCUCUGCCUUGACACAGGUGCUCCAACCCCCUCGGCACUAACUUGGCCCGUUUCCGUCACUGGCAUUUUAAGCUGCAGUGUUAGCGUAGAGAGCAUGCCAAGGCAGAGUGCUAUUUACAAGUCUGUAGGAAUUGGGCGAACCUGGAAAGUGAAAGCUGAGCAGCACAGCUCCCUCUGUGGGGGCCGCAUGUGGCAAGCACACCCUCUCCUCCAGUCUUCGCGCAGGUGACCCUAUUGUAUGAGUGACAUUUGUAGACAUUAACCUGAGACAGAGCUAAUACUUGAGGCCGCCAGGUCUAUAGGCUCCAAAGCCUGUGCAGCCCUUGAACUGUAAGCAGGAAAUCUCAAGCAGGACCUCAGGGUCCCCCACCGAAGCCGGGGUGGUGGACACAGCCUGGCUCAGGUGGGGCCAAGGGCGGGCCAAGGGGAUGGGUCCCUGGCCUGCCACGUGGAGAGGCCAAAGUCAGCACUUUGAUUUGAAAGCAUGCUUACUCUCUCUGCUAGUGUAGACUGCUAGAAUAUUUUGUGCUUCCAGAUUCUGGUGGUAGUACCACAGUAAACUCUAUAAAUGCAAAUGGCUUUGUAAACAGGUUAAGUCAUAUAGGAGCAGUAUACUAUACGCAAGUGUGUGUAAAUGUAUAUAUACUGCUUCCUGGUAAAGCCUUUUGAAAGUCUGUAUUGCAGUUAACACCAUGCUGUGUUCAAAUGACUAAGACUGUAGCUUUUGAUUUUUUUAAAGUAGGGUGAAUGAGGUUUGCAUUAUUAGGGCAAAAGCCCAAAGUCUGGACAGACACAUGCCAUCAAAACAAUGAAAUUUACAAAUGCACAGCUUUUACCUUUUGGCUGCUAUUUUAAAACAUGCAUUUUAAUUAGAAUCCAUUCAAAGCAAAACGUCAAAACAGUGUAAAGAGAGAAAUCUAUCUAUGACGUUUUAAGUAACAGGCUCGUUAUAAACUGUUUUGUGCAAGUGUCAUCAUGGAGAGUCAGAAAUAAGUGUUUGUUCCAAGGCCACUGUGAGUGGGUCUCUGAAGGAUUCUGGAGGUUUCUUUCGAGCACACUGCUUUUCUAGAUGUCCCCGAGGGUGCAGGGAGAGGGCUGCCUGAGUUGCUAGUCCAUCUGCUUAGCUGUUGGCAGCUCUGCUGUUUCACGAACGACCCAAUGAACAGAAGUCGGUCCAAGAAAGCCAGAGACUGGCGGGGUCUGGGAUCCGGUGCAGGCCCUGAAGUGCAGUGGGGGCUCCCCAUGUACCAGGUGGGUCAGCAGGGAGCCUAUCGCCAGGGAGGGAGGUGUUGGGCUCUGUUAUGUCCUGUGCUGAGUGCAGCCUGAGCAGAAAACGGUGGGUCCAGACCUGGGCAUCUCCCUCCCUGGCUGGCGGUGCCUUGGCUUUCGAGGGCCCACAGGGGCUCCUUGGCCUCUGGCGCUUCAGCUCCAGCCUGAUGGACGGACAGCUCCUGGGUCACCAGCAGCCUCCAGGCCUAUUGUCUGUUUUUGGCCUGGGGCUUCUUCUGAAGUCUUCAGAGCCUUCUCAGUGCACAGCCAGGGCUGCGGGAAGGGGUCCCACAGGCCCCCGACCGUGGAGAUCAGUGUCCCGCCUCCUGUCCUCCAAGAGUGCAGCCUCUGGUUUCCCAGCGCCACACUGAGCCCCGCUGCCCAGAUGGACACCAGUGGGCCCACCCUGACCAUCUCCUGCCUCCUCCAGAGCAGCUCCAAGUAACCUCCCUGCACCCAGACUCUAGACCCAGCCAACCAGGCGACCUCAUAUAGAAAUGGGUUUACUGAACCCAGUCCAGUAGGAAUCAAGCCUGGAAUCUCCUCUCCUUCUGUGACGAAAGUUUAUACCCGCCUUACCUUCACUGAGGGAUAUAAGUUUGGGGAAUAUUCUUUAAAAUUUCUCAAAUAUCUGCUGAAUAAGAGAUUAUAGAAUUUAUUCAAGAGCAUAAUGUGGUUUAUCAGUGACUAUUUGCUGUUUUAAGAGAAAGAAAUCCUUUUCUUACAGCUAUUUUCCUCCUUAUAGCUUUCUAAUCCCCUUUCCAAAAUAGUCUUAAAAAAUUAAUUCAGAAUCUAAAAUGGGUUUUAUGGGAGCUCC
Molecule: RNA transcript, 9003 nt
Organism: Balaenoptera musculus (blue whale)
Lineage: Eukaryota; Metazoa; Chordata; Mammalia; Artiodactyla; Balaenopteridae
Gene: MIMS1
Gene name: family with sequence similarity 210 member A
Exons: 5
Source: RefSeq, a predicted model, not a curated record